Molecule: ribosomal RNA, 773 nt
Filed under: Salmonella enterica
Lineage: Bacteria; Pseudomonadati; Pseudomonadota; Gammaproteobacteria; Enterobacterales; Enterobacteriaceae
Description: partial 23S ribosomal RNA
Rfam family: Bacterial large subunit ribosomal RNA
Source: RNAcentral
CGGGACACGUGGUAUCCUGUCUGAAUAUGGGGGGACCAUCCUCCAAGGCUAAAUACUCCUGACUGACCGAUAGUGAACCAGUACCGUGAGGGAAAGGCGAAAAGAACCCCGGCGAGGGGAGUGAAAAAGAACCUGAAACCGUGUACGUACAAGCAGUGGGAGCACAGGUUUACCUGUGUGACUGCGUACCUUUUGUAUAAUGGGUCAGCGACUUAUAUUCUGUAGCAAGGUUAACCGUAUAGGGGAGCCGAAGGGAAACCGAGUCUUAACCGGGCGUUAAGUUGCAGGGUAUAGACCCGAAACCCGGUGAUCUAGCCAUGGGCAGGUUGAAGGUUGGGUAACACUAACUGGAGGACCGAACCGACUAAUGUUGAAAAAUUAGCGGAUGACCUGUGGCUGGGGGUGAAAGGCCAAUCAAACCGGGAGAUAGCUGGUUCUCCCCGAAAGCUAUUUAGGUAGCGCCUCGUGAAUUCAUCUCCGGGGGUAGAGCACUGUUUCGGCUAGGGGGCCAUCCCGGCUUACCAACCCGAUGCAAACUGCGAAUACCGGAGAAUGUUAUCACGGGAGACACACGGCGGGUGCUAACGUCCGUCGUGAAGAGGGAAACAACCCAGACCGCCAGCUAAGGUCCCAAAGUCAUGGUUAAGUGGGAAACGAUGUGGGAAGGCCCAGACAGCCAGGAUGUUGGCUUAGAAGCAGCCAUCAUUUAAAGAAAGCGUAAUAGCUCACUGGUCGAGUCGGCCUGCGCGGAAGAUGUAACGGGGCUAAACCAU